This 301-nucleotide ribosomal RNA is filed under the name uncultured bacterium. RNAcentral describes it as "partial 16S ribosomal RNA". It matches the Rfam family "Bacterial small subunit ribosomal RNA", at positions 509 to 807 of the family's 1533-position model. The record is from RNAcentral.
CAGUAGCCGCGGGAAUACAGAGGGUGCAAGCGUUAAUCGGAAUUACUGGGCGUAAAGCGCGCGUAGGUGGUUUGUUAAGUUGGAUGUGAAAUCCCCGGGCUCAACCUGGGAACUGCAUCCAAAACUGGCAAGCUAGAGUAUGGUAGAGGGUGGUGGAAUUUCCUGUGUAGCGGUGAAAUGCGUAGAUAUAGGAAGGAACACCAGUGGCGAAGGCGACCACCUGGACUGAUACUGACACUGAGGUGCGAAAGCGUGGGGAGCAAACAGGAUUAGAGACCCGAGUAGUCCCUGUCUCUUAUAC